Long non-coding RNA from Homarus americanus (American lobster), 617 nucleotides. RefSeq lists it as uncharacterized. The record is from RefSeq and is a predicted model, not a curated record. Lineage: Eukaryota; Metazoa; Arthropoda; Malacostraca; Decapoda; Nephropidae. The transcript has 2 exons.
AUUAAAAUAUCUUAAAAAUUAAAACUAAUCGAAUUAUCUCGUAGUAUUUUUAUGGUUAUAUUAAUACAUAUUAAGUAAGUUAAUAUCAACUGGAAGAUAAACUUGUCCUGGUUGUGUUCGUGGUAGUCUCUAACAUUACCUACACUGCUGUGAGACACCGUCACUCCAGACAGAAGAGGCCGACCAGCACAACACCACCACACAUCUUCAUCAUGUUCGCUCUCAGGACCGCCGUCACCCAAGUAGCUCGGGCCAACACAACGAUGGUGAUGGCCAAGAGGACCAGUGUUAUCUCUGGACCUCCCACAGUCAAAGUUAGCUUCGCGGAGAAAAUGGUUCACGGUGGAGUCAUCAUGGUUGGGUGUUGCGCUGUUCCAGCUUGGGUGCUUGCCCACAUUAAGGAAUACCGUGGUCGUGAGGAAUAGAUCAUAACAUGUAAAUAAGUAUUUAAUUCAAGUCAAUUUGUGGUGUAAAAUAUGGUUACUUAAAACUUUUUUUUAUCUCAAACAAAAUUGAAGAGAUGUUUCUUUCAAUAAUCAAUUGUGUACUGUACCUUUGAAUCAUGUUUAAAUUCCAUAGCACUUAUUUUGUACAUAAUUAAUAAAUUAAAUAUUUGU